UAUAAACCUAGUUCUCUUUUCUCUCGAGCUCUAGCCGCCGGAAAAAAAUGUAGAUCUGAGGCCGGAUCGCGGUGGCUGACCUAGCGCCGGUUCCGACCUCCCUUUCUCAGGCCAGAAGCUUUUGCUUCUCUUUUUCUUGUUUGUUGCGGCUUUGAUUGGAGAUUUGAGAAUGAGACAUGGGGUUGCGGUGGUUCGAUUCCGACAUGAGGAAGGUUUGAGUGGUAUUUUGGAUUGGUGGUUUUUUCUUCCGCCGAGGCAUGGCUUUCGAUGAGAAGCAGGGUUCUCGAAUUAGGUAGUGGUAGUGGUAUCUGCUUCAGGAGUUGGCGGUGGAGGUCUCUUUCGGUUGCGUUUCUUUUCAUGCGGAUUUAAGGUUGCGGACUUCGUUUUGGCUAUCGGUGAAUGAUGCUGGUUCGAGCCAAGGAGAAAAGAUAUCGCCUUUAGCUUCUGAUGUAUCUUCGCCAGUGGAAGCAGAUUUAUCAGUGACAGUGGCUUCACUUCUUCAGACACACUCAACGCUGUCCCUGGAGAAUAGCCAGUUAUAGAAGAAGAAGCAGGCAAUGUUAUAGCAUGGCAAGCUCAUGAGGGAAGGAAGAGGCUCUUCCAGAUGAUAAAUGAUCUCCCAACCAUUUUUGAGGUUGACAACCACAACAGUAGCAGAAGCAAAUCUAUCGGUGCCAAGCCUCGCCACUCUGAAUCUCACACUAAGGCUUCAAAGAUGUCCCCACCACCAAAAGAAGAAGAUGAGAGUGGAGAUGACGAGGAAGAUGACGAACAAGGUUACAAUGCAAGCGAUUUGUGUAGGUGAGUACAAGUUAUCAAAGAAUGACCCUCUGAGACUAAAAUCUGGAUUGGGAUACUGAGGGUGCAAUAACAACAAUUAGCUCUAGUGUUUUAUAUAGUCUUGUUGUAUACCUCUAUUUGUAUGGUUGGAUAAAUACAAAUUAGAACAUCCUCCGUUGCUAUAUUGUCUUCUUUUGAAAUUUAUAAAAUUUAUCAUUUUGCUCUUCA
Camelina sativa (false flax) is the source of this 1008-nucleotide long non-coding RNA. RefSeq lists it as uncharacterized. The record is from RefSeq and is a predicted model, not a curated record. Lineage: Eukaryota; Viridiplantae; Streptophyta; Magnoliopsida; Brassicales; Brassicaceae.